GACGAACGCUGGCGGCGUGCUUAACACAUGCAAGUCGAACGGAAAGGCCCUGCUUUUGUGGGGUGCUCGCGUGGCGAACGGGUGAGUAACCCGUGAGUCACCUGCCCUUGACUUUGUGAUAUCUUCAGGCAACUGGGGCUACUACCGGCUAGGAGCUCCUGCUGCAUGGUGGGGGUUGGAAAGUUUCGGCGGUUGGGGAUGGACUCGCGGCUUAUUAGCUUGUUGGGGGGGUAGUGGCUUACCAAGGCUUUGACGGGUAGCCGGCCUGGGUGGUGGGCCGGCGACAUGGGGACUGAGAGACGGCCCAGACGCGUACGGGAGGCAGCAGGGGGGAAUAUUGCACAAUGGGCGGAAGCGUGAUGCAGCAACGCCGCGUGCGGGAUGACGGCCUUCGGGUUGUAAACCGCUUUCGCCUGUGACGAAGCGGGAGUGACGGUAAUGGGUAAAGAAGCACCGGCUAACUACGUG
This 468-nucleotide ribosomal RNA is filed under the name uncultured bacterium. Its description in RNAcentral is "partial 16S ribosomal RNA". It matches the Rfam family "Bacterial small subunit ribosomal RNA", at positions 28 to 507 of the family's 1533-position model. The record is from RNAcentral.